This 406-nucleotide ribosomal RNA is filed under the name uncultured bacterium. RNAcentral describes it as "partial 16S ribosomal RNA". It matches the Rfam family "Bacterial small subunit ribosomal RNA", at positions 30 to 526 of the family's 1533-position model. The record is from RNAcentral.
AUUGAACGCUGGCGGCAGGCCUAACACAUGCAAGUAGAACGAGUGGCGGACGGGUGCGUAAUGUCUGGGAAACUGCCUGAUGGAGGGGGAUAACUACUGGAAACGGUAGCUAAUACCGCAUACCAUCGGAUGUGCCCAGAUGGGAUUAGCUAGUAGGUGGGGUAAAGGCUUACCUAGGCGACAAUCCCUAGCUGGUCUGAGAGGAGGACCCGCCAAACUGGAACUGAGACACGUUCCAGACUCCUACGGUAGUCAGCAGUGGGGAAUAUUGAACAAGGGGCGCAAGCCUGAUGCAGCCAUGCCGCGUGUAUGAAGAAGGCCUUCGGGUUGUAAAGGACUUUCAGCGGGGAGGCGUUACCCGCAGAAGAAGCACCGGCUAACUCCGUGCCAGCAGCCGCGGUAAUAC